Molecule: unclassified non-coding RNA, 247 nt
Filed under: fungal sp.
Lineage: Eukaryota; Fungi
Description: partial internal transcribed spacer region
Rfam family: Eukaryotic small subunit ribosomal RNA (bases 1-46)
Source: RNAcentral
AAGUCGUAACAAGGUAACCGUAGGUGAACCUGCGGUUGGAUCAUUACCAAAAGAAGGACUUUGAGUCCCCUUUAAACGCUAGUGCCCUUAACAAGGCCUAGUAAACCCCUUGUGAACUGUUUAUUGUCUUUGGCAGGACCACUCUCUGGAGUACCUGCCAACCCACUUAUUAAACCCCGUUUUUAAACAACGUCUUAUCAAAUGUAAAAAUUUGAAACAACUUUUGACAACGGAUCUCUUGGCUCUC